AGAGUUUGAUCAUGGCUCAGGACGAACGCUGGCGGCAUGCCUAAUACAUGCAAGUCGAACGAGCUUCCGUUGAAUGACGUGCUUGCACUGAUUUUAACAAUGAAGCGAGUGGCGAACUGGUGAGUAACACGUGGGAAAUCUGCCCAGAAGCAGGGGAUAACACUUGGAAACAGGUGCUAAUACCGUAUAACAACAAAAUCCGCAUGGAUUUUGUUUGAAAGGUGGCUUCGGCUAUCACUUCUGGAUGAUCCCGCGGCGUAUUAGUUAGUUGGUGAGGUAAAGGCCCACCAAGACGAUGAUACGUAGCCGACCUGAGAGGGUAAUCGGCCACAUUGGGACUGAGACACGGCCCAAACUCCUACGGGAGGCAGCAGUAGGGAAUCUUCCACAAUGGACGAAAGUCUGAUGGAGCAAUGCCGCGUGAGUGAAGAAGGGUUUCGGCUCGUAAAACUCUGUUGUUAAAGAAGAACACCUUUGAGAGUAACUGUUCAAGGGUUGACGGUAUUUAACCAGAAAGCCACGGCUAACUACGUGCCAGCAGCCGCGGUAAUACGUAGGUGGCAAGCGUUGUCCGGAUUUAUUGGGCGUAAAGCGAGCGCAGGCGGUUUUUUAAGUCUGAUGUGAAAGCCUUCGGCUUAACCGGAGAAGUGCAUCGGAAACUGGGAGACUUGAGUGCAGAAGAGGACAGUGGAACUCCAUGUGUAGCGGUGGAAUGCGUAGAUAUAUGGAAGAACACCAGUGGCGAAGGCGGCUGUCUAGUCUGUAACUGACGCUGAGGCUCGAAAGCAUGGGUAGCGAACAGGAUUAGAUACCCUGGUAGUCCAUGCCGUAAACGAUGAGUGCUAAGUGUUGGAGGGUUUCCGCCCUUCAGUGCUGCAGCUAACGCAUUAAGCACUCCGCCUGGGGAGUACGACCGCAAGGUUGAAACUCAAAGGAAUUGACGGGGGCCCGCACAAG
RNAcentral lists this ribosomal RNA (957 nucleotides) under Levilactobacillus brevis. RNAcentral's name for it is "bacterial SSU rRNA". It matches the Rfam family "Bacterial small subunit ribosomal RNA", at positions 8 to 929 of the family's 1533-position model. Lineage: Bacteria; Bacillati; Bacillota; Bacilli; Lactobacillales; Lactobacillaceae. The record is from RNAcentral.